RNAcentral lists this ribosomal RNA (235 nucleotides) under uncultured bacterium. Its description in RNAcentral is "partial 16S ribosomal RNA". It matches the Rfam family "Bacterial small subunit ribosomal RNA", at positions 96 to 334 of the family's 1533-position model. The record is from RNAcentral.
UGGCGGACGGGUGAGUAAUGUCUGGGAAACUGCCCGAUGGAGGGGGAUAACUACUGGAAACGGUAGCUAAUACCGCAUAACGUCGCAAGACCAAAGAGGGGGACCUUCGGGCCUCGCGCCAUCAGAUGAACCCAUAUGGGAUUAGCUUGUAGGUAAGGUAACGGCUUACCUAGGCGACGAUCCCUAGCUGGUCUGAGAGGAUGACCAGCCACACUGGAACUGAGACACGGUCCAG